UACGGAAGGCAGCAGUGGGGAAUAUUGCACAAUGGGCGCAAGCCUGAUGCAGCCAUGCCGCGUGUAUGAAGAAGGCCUUCGGGUUGUAAAGUACUUUCAGUCGUGAGGAAGGUGUUAAGGUUAAUAACCUUAGCAAUUGACGUUAGCGACAGAAGAAGCACCGGCUAACUCCGUGCCAGCAGCCGCGGUAAUACGGAGGGUGCGAGCGUUAAUCGGAAUUACUGGGCGUAAAGGGCACGCAGGCGGUUAAUUAAGUUGGAUGUGAAAUCCCCGGGCUUAACCUGGGAAUGGCAUUCAAGACUGGUUAGCUAGAGUCUUGUAGAGGGGGUAGAAUUCCAUGUGUAGCGGUGAAAUGCGUAGAGAUGUGGAGGAAUACCGGUGGCGAAGGCGGCCCCUGGCAAAGGACUGACGCUCAUGUGCGAAAGCUGGGGAGCAAAC
RNAcentral lists this ribosomal RNA (438 nucleotides) under uncultured bacterium. Its description in RNAcentral is "bacterial SSU rRNA". It matches the Rfam family "Bacterial small subunit ribosomal RNA", at positions 340 to 773 of the family's 1533-position model. The record is from RNAcentral.